CUUAGGGAGGAGCUUGCGUCACAUUAGUUAGUUGGUGGGGUAAAGGCCUACCAAGACUAUGAUGUGUAGCCGGGCUGAGAGGUUGAACGGCCACAUUGGGACUGAGACACGGCCCAAACUCCUACGGGAGGCAGCAGUAGGGAAUUUUCGGCAAUGGAGGAAACUCUGACCGAGCAACGCCGCGUGAACGAUGAAGUAUUUCGGUACGUAAAGUUCUUUUAUUAGGGAAGAAUAAAUGAUGGAAAAAUCAUUCUGACGGUACCUAAUGAAUAAGCCCCGGCUAACUAUGUGCCAGCAGCCGCGGUAAUACAUAGGGGGCAAGCGUUAUCCGGAAUUAUUGGGCGUAAAGGGUGCGUAGGCGGUUAAAUAAGUUUAUGGUCUAAGUGCAAUGCUCAACAUUGUGAUGCUAUAAAAACUGUUUAGCUAGAGUAAGAUAGAGGCAAGUGGAAUUCCAUGUGUAGUGGUAAAAUGCGUAAAUAUAUGGAGGAACACCAGUAGCGAAGGCGGCUUGCUGGGUCUUUACUGACGCUGAGGCACGAAAGCGUGGGGAGCAAACAGGAUUAGAUACCCUGGUAGUCCACGCCGUAAACGAUGAGUACUAAACGUUGGGUAAAACCAGUGUUGAAGUUAACACAUUAAGUACUCCGCCUGAGUAGUACGUACGCAAGUAUGAAACUUAAAGGAAUUGACGGGACUCCGCACAAGCGGUGGAUCAUGUUGUUUAAUUCGAAGGNACCCGAAAACCUCACCNGNCUUGACNUGCUUCUGCAAAACUGUAGAAACACAGUGGAGGUUAUCAGUUGCACAGGUGGUGCAUGGUUGUCGUCAGCUCGUGUCGNGAGAUGUUGGGUUAAGUCCCGCAACGAGCGCANNNCUUANNGNUAGUUACCAGCACGUAAUGGUGGGGACUUUAGCA
Molecule: ribosomal RNA, 916 nt
Filed under: Candidatus Phytoplasma asteris-related phytoplasma
Lineage: Bacteria; Bacillati; Mycoplasmatota; Mollicutes; Acholeplasmatales; Acholeplasmataceae
Description: bacterial SSU rRNA
Rfam family: Bacterial small subunit ribosomal RNA
Source: RNAcentral